AGAGAAGCAGAGACCGGCAGUGAAGGGAGAAAAAGGGAAAGAAGAAAGGAAAAAGAAAAAGGAAAAGGAAAAGAAGAAAGGAAAAAGAAGAAGAAAAGAGGUGAUAUUUGUACGAAUUGGAGCUCAAGUUUGGGGAUUUCUUCAUUUCCAAUUUUAGCUAGGAGACCGUCGAUUUUGAGAUACUGGGAAAAGCCUUCUGAAGCGAAAGAGACCAUUUCAUAGUAUGUAAUGUAUAGUUGGGGAACUCAUGUUUAUUAAGUACUUGUCUAAUAUUUGGUGUGUCAUGCACUUCGUAGAAAGGUUGGUAAUUGAUGUGAUGCUUGCAUGUUGACAUGAUGAUGUUGUAGAAGCACUCAAUCGAAUUUUGUUAUAUUUUGUUGUAGUUGUGGUGGUAUUAGAGGAUGUGGUGGUUUCCAAAACUUUUGGUUUAAAUGUCUAUUUGAGAUUUUGAUGAUUUUUCAUGUUGGUUUUGUCCAUGUUACAGGGAAAACUCUGUCAAAAUUUUUAUAGAAUUA
Olea europaea var. sylvestris is the source of this 515-nucleotide long non-coding RNA. RefSeq lists it as uncharacterized. Lineage: Eukaryota; Viridiplantae; Streptophyta; Magnoliopsida; Lamiales; Oleaceae. The transcript is spliced from 3 exons. The record is from RefSeq and is a predicted model, not a curated record.